RNAcentral lists this long non-coding RNA (395 nucleotides) under Brassica rapa (field mustard). Its description in RNAcentral is "long non-coding RNA (BRAP_LNC004877)". The record is from RNAcentral. Lineage: Eukaryota; Viridiplantae; Streptophyta; Magnoliopsida; Brassicales; Brassicaceae.
UGCCUUGACACUGAAGCAAAACAGGAGAUGCUCAAGUCACUGUCUGCGACUCUGCAGCAGGAUUUCAGGAGUUCAAAUCUUGUCAUCGACAAAGAUCUGGAGUUAGAAGUGGUAUUGCCUGUUAGAGAGGACAUGGUUUUGUCAGAGAACCCACUUACUGGAGCCGAAACUGCAGAGGCUUUGAGAGAAAUCCAUCUGCUGCAAGAGUCCUCAUGGAUCUCCCACAUGAUAAAGGCUAACGAGAAGGGUAAAGAUGUGUCACUUUCUUGGGAGUAUCAGAAUGAAGAUCCAAAAGAUGAGUUCAAGCUCUCACCUGGCUGGGACAACAGUCAACUUGAUCCAGCCCCCAAUAAUAUUCCUUCAGAAGCUGAGCAGUUUCAACAAGGUUCAACUCC